CCAAAUGGAACCUACAUACUGGCACGUCCUGAUGGAGAGGAGGCAAUGCCCCCUAUCAAUGGGUAAUACCUAAAGAAAUACUACCCAUGAUGCAUACUCAAGAAAAGAGACUCAAUGCAAAGCAAGCAAGAAAGUCCAAACAAAGCUUAACUCUUUUUAUUGCAUUAUAAGGGAAUACAAGUUACAGUCGAAAGCCCAUUAUUAGGGAACUUACAAAUCUCUUGCAUCUGAGGAAAAGAGAA
Molecule: long non-coding RNA, 242 nt
Filed under: Amborella trichopoda
Lineage: Eukaryota; Viridiplantae; Streptophyta; Magnoliopsida; Amborellales; Amborellaceae
Description: long non-coding RNA (ATRI_LNC003957)
Source: RNAcentral